CUGCAGUCAGUUAAACUUACUCUGCUCCUGCCUACAUAGGGCCCAGUGUGAAAUGGCUGCAAAUAGCAGUCUCCUCCAUAGGGUACACAGGCAGUUGCUUGUAUGGGUUGCCCUGAGAGGUCUUGGAGACUGUC
This is a small nucleolar RNA of Talpa occidentalis (Iberian mole), 134 nucleotides long. RefSeq annotates it as small nucleolar RNA SNORA70. Lineage: Eukaryota; Metazoa; Chordata; Mammalia; Eulipotyphla; Talpidae. The transcript has a single exon. The record is from RefSeq and is a predicted model, not a curated record.